Molecule: ribosomal RNA, 120 nt
Filed under: Pteropus alecto (black flying fox)
Lineage: Eukaryota; Metazoa; Chordata; Mammalia; Chiroptera; Pteropodidae
Source: RNAcentral
GGUCUUAGCCAUGCCACCGUGAACACGCCUGAUCUUGUCUGAUUUUGGAAGAUAAGCAGGGUCGGGCCUGGUUAGUACUUGGAUGGGAGACCACCCAGGAAGACCAGGUCAGUAGGUGUA